RNAcentral lists this ribosomal RNA (253 nucleotides) under uncultured bacterium. RNAcentral's name for it is "partial 16S ribosomal RNA". It matches the Rfam family "Bacterial small subunit ribosomal RNA", at positions 524 to 776 of the family's 1533-position model. The record is from RNAcentral.
UGCGUAGGAUGCAAGCGUUGUCCGGAUUUAUUGGGUUUAAAGGGUGCGUAGGCGUCUUAUUAAGUUAGUGGUGCAAACUUUCGGCUCAACCGGAUACCCGCCAUUGAUACUGAUAGACUUGAGUGCGACAGAGGGUGUUGGAAUGUGUGGUGUAGCGGUGAAAUGCUUAGAUAUCACGCAGAACACCAAUUGCGAAGGCAGAUGCCUAUGUCGUAACUGACGCUGAGGCACGAAAGCGUGGGGAGCAAACAGG